RNAcentral lists this long non-coding RNA (2130 nucleotides) under Homo sapiens (human). RNAcentral describes it as "HSALNT0357338". Lineage: Eukaryota; Metazoa; Chordata; Mammalia; Primates; Hominidae. The record is from RNAcentral.
CCGCGUGGCCUGAGGCUCCGCUCUGCUUCCGGAUGGAGGGGCUUGUGGGGGGUCCCGGCCUCCUGCGCAUCCGCCGCCGCAGGCUGCAGACCAGGUCGGCGAGGCCCAGCAGAAAAGACAGCGCGCUGACCGCCCAGAGGAACAGCAUCAGCAGGGACUUCUCUGUGGGCCGCGACACGUAGCAGUCCACCACGCCCGUGCACGGAGGGCGCGUGCAAGGGAACUUCUUCGGGGCCAGGAAUCCAAAGAGAAAGUAGUGCAAGGCCCCGAAGGCUGCCUCCAGCAGGGUCCGGAGGAGGAGGUGGAUGAUGUAGCCGGCCGAAAAGUCGGGCACCUGGAGGCCGCCGCGCUCCCCGAAUGGCCGCGGGCAGCGUCUCUGCCCGGAGGCCGGCUCCCGGGGGUCGGGGCAGCGGCGGGGGCCCAGCGCGGCGAGCGUGGCUCCUCGGUGCAGGACAUAGACGCUGAAGACGGCGGAGGGGAGGAGGACGCACACGCCCUGGAUCAGCCAGAACCGCAGGUGAGACACGGGGGAGAAGACGUCGUAGCAAACAUUGGCGCAUCCCGGCUGCAGCGUGUUGCAGACAAACCUCUCCUGCUCGUCCUGGUAGACGGGUCGCCCCGCCAAGACAAUCACCAGCAUCCGCAGCAGCAUCGUGAGGACGAACCAGAGCUUUCCUGGAAGAGAGGAAGCGGGCAUGGCCUCAUCACCCCGAAUACACUGCCCUGACCACACCAGGGUUGCACACAAACACCCCUCCACCUGCUUUGGUCUUUGGAGUCAGCACCCCAGUGUCAGCACAGGAUGAUCUGUGAGAGAACAAUGUCAAACGCAAGACUCCCUUACAUGACGGAGGAACCGCGGAACCAUUCAAAGAAACUAGAAGCCUCAGCUCUCUUCCCUCCAGAAAGGCACAGCCCUUUCUUUUGGGAGUGGGUGGACUUUCAGCUUGGUGCUUGCACACUGAAAAUGAGUAAAUACCUGGACCCUUUAAGGACUCAAUUCCACCAUGGCAGUGGAAAUAAAAACAGCGCAGGAGUUUGGAGAUGGUCCCAAUACUCACCCACCAUGGUCACGUUGCAGUUUAAUGUGAUGAUGAGAAACCCUAGCAAGUCCACGCCUUCCAUGCUUCCAGAAUGUCCCAGGCUCCAGGCUGCAGGAGACACUGGAGGGCUGUGUUCUCCAAGGAGGCGGAUAAAUGUCCUUUAACUACAUAAGACUUAAAGGUGUGAGCUGGAGAUAAGAAAGCAAAGGUCUGAGCCAGGAGUAGGAGGUGGGUUUUUCUGUCUCCAAGUUGAGACGGCCCUAAGCCGUUUGCCUCUGAGGCGAAACAUUCCUGACAACUGCAGUGACCAGCAGAGCAAGCAGCAGUCAUCUCUUAUUGUGGGCUAUUCUUACUCGCCUGGGAUAUUCCCGGCCUGUGGCAGCGCUCAUAUGUCCCCACCAGGACAGCCAGAUGCUUCAGGAUAUAAUAGCAGCAACUACUUUUAACCCAAGAAAGAAAACUUCUGCUAACUAGCCAAGUAAAUUUCUCUAUUAAAAAGGCAUUUCCUCCUUGAAAACAUUUCCACAACCACUUCACUUGUGCAAGAAGCCCUUAAAGUGUUCACGUUUUGUCUUCUCAAUCAAGCAUGAAUCGCCAUGCCACCAUCACACGAACCCACAAGGAUCUCGCCCUUAUUCUGAAUUCCUGUGUCAUUGGUGCAGGCAGAAAUCUGAAACUCAGUUGGGUGUCCCAACUUUAGACCGUGACUUGGUUAUUCUCCUGCUGCUUCCUGUGCAGUGAGUGACAACUCUUCGCUUGGAGACAAAAGCCUGGGUGCAAAGCCCGGGGCAGCCCCCUACUCACUGGGGAAGUCAUUGGAUCCUUCCAGAUAGCCUCAUCUUGCAAUAAGGAGAAUCAUGCCAUUCCACUUGCCAUUUGUGGGAGGCUUAUGUGAAAUGAUGGUGUAGAAUAAGAGCAACUGGUGUGAAGUGGGUGUACGACAACCCAUAUCCGUGGGAUUUCAAUCCCUAAUUGGCCUCUACGACCUUCACAGAUUACAUCUUCCCUUUGUAUCUCCCAGCCCCAUCUAGCCUGGAGCUGUUCCCAUUGAAUCUACUUAAUAAAUGUCUGUUAAAUCUGUCAUGAA